Molecule: ribosomal RNA, 468 nt
Filed under: uncultured bacterium
Lineage: Bacteria
Description: partial 16S ribosomal RNA
Rfam family: Bacterial small subunit ribosomal RNA
Source: RNAcentral
GACGAACGCUGGCGGCGUGCCUAACACAUGCAAGUCGAACGGUGAAACAAGAGCUUGCUCUUCUGGAUCAGUGGCGAACGGGUGAGUAACACGUGAGUAACCCGCCCCAGACUCUGGAAUAAGCGCUGGAAACGGCGUCUAAUAUCGGAUACGAGACAGAGCAGCAUGGCUACUGUCUGGAAAGUUUUUCGGUCUGGGAUGGACUCGCGGCCUAUCAGCUUGCUGGUGAGGUAGCGGCUGACGAAGCCAACGACGGAUAGCCGGCCUGGGAGGGCGGACGGCCACACUGGGACUGAGAGACGGCGCAGACUGCUACGGGAGGCAGCAGGGGGGAGUCUUGCACAGUGGGCGAGAGCCUGAUACGGCGGCGCCGCGUGAGGAAAGACGGCCUUCGGGGUAUGAACCUCUUUCAGCGGAGAAGAAGCGAAAGUGACGGUACCUGCAGAAGAAGCACCGGCUAACUACGUG